GUAGGUGAACCUGCGGAAGGAUCAUUAUCACGUUAUCCACGUUCUAAACCAUUUCGUGCACUGUUUCACCUCUGAUGUUUUAUAUAAAGGUCAAUGUGUUGCAAAAAAUGAAUGAUUGAGGGGUUUUUUUUCUUCUUCUUUUUUCUCCUCGGAGAAAUUGUUGAGAGAAAAAAUCUGAACAAUUGGAUCGCACACUUUGACUGGAACAUUCAGAGCGUAAUAAAUCAAACUCUUUCAUUCUAUCCAAACCAUUUGAACCAUACUUCUUUUAAGCUUUGGAACUGAUUAAAUAAGUACAAGGAAACUUGUCUUAUUCUUACGAAAACAAACGAACAACUCUUAGCAACGGAUAUCUUGGUUCUC
Molecule: unclassified non-coding RNA, 363 nt
Filed under: rhizosphere metagenome
Description: partial ribosomal RNA internal transcribed spacer region
Source: RNAcentral